Molecule: unclassified non-coding RNA, 259 nt
Filed under: Hevea brasiliensis (rubber tree)
Lineage: Eukaryota; Viridiplantae; Streptophyta; Magnoliopsida; Malpighiales; Euphorbiaceae
Source: RNAcentral
AAAUCUCUGGGUCUUGAAGGAUCCACUAACUGCCCUGCUAACUUCCAGAAUCUCUUUACAGUGGCGGACUCUUUUGGGUUGGCUGAGAUAGCCUUAAGCUUGCUGAUCACAUUUACUACAUUUCCAUCGACAACAGGCACUACCUCAUGAAUUCAUGAGCAUCCUCCUGUCUACCAUAUCCAAGGUUGCCCCCUAUAUUAGGUAGCCAAUGAAGAAUAUUGACAGGUGAAAAGGGCUGCAGACUUUCCGUAGCUCUUCG